RNAcentral lists this ribosomal RNA (277 nucleotides) under uncultured Burkholderiales bacterium. RNAcentral describes it as "partial 16S ribosomal RNA". It matches the Rfam family "Bacterial small subunit ribosomal RNA", at positions 526 to 802 of the family's 1533-position model. The record is from RNAcentral. Lineage: Bacteria; Pseudomonadati; Pseudomonadota; Betaproteobacteria; Burkholderiales.
CGUAGGGUGCAAGCGUUAAUCGGAAUUACUGGGCGUAAAGCGUGCGCAGGCGGUUUUGUAAGACAGUGGUGAAAUCCCCGGGCUCAACCUGGGAACUGCCAUUGUGACUGCAAGGCUAGAGUGCGGCAGAGGGGGAUGGAAUUCCGCGUGUAGCAGUGAAAUGCGUAGAUAUGCGGAGGAACACCGAUGGCGAAGGCAAUCCCCUGGGCCUGCACUGACGCUCAUGCACGAAAGCGUGGGGAGCAAACAGGAUUAGAUACCCUGGUAGUCAAGGGCG